GUUGACGGAUUCCCAGAUCCGUUUAAGAGUUUUUAGAUUAUAUUAUGUUUUUGUUAGUUUUAUUUUUUAAGAUUUGUUUUUAUUGAUUUUAUUUUUUAAGAUUUGUUUUUAUUAAUUUUAUUUUUUAAGAUUUGUUUUUAUUAGUUUAUUUUUUAGGAUUUGUUUUUAUUAGUUUUAUUUUUUAAGAUUUGUUUUUAUUAGAUUUUUAUUUUAUUAGUUUUAUUUUUUAAGAUUUGUUUUUAUUAGUUUAUUUUUUUAAG
Molecule: long non-coding RNA, 260 nt
Filed under: Vigna radiata
Lineage: Eukaryota; Viridiplantae; Streptophyta; Magnoliopsida; Fabales; Fabaceae
Description: long non-coding RNA (VRAD_LNC002474)
Source: RNAcentral